This 324-nucleotide ribosomal RNA is filed under the name uncultured prokaryote. Its description in RNAcentral is "partial 16S ribosomal RNA". The record is from RNAcentral.
CCCUAUGGGGUGCAGCAGGAUUGGUGCUGUUAAUCCUACUGAGUGGCUGCACGCCAGCGGCAACUGAACUGCCGCCCACGCCAACCAGCACCCUGACCCCAACGGCCACCCCCACAGUGGUGUGGUUCCCGGCGACGGCUACACCCAGCCCGCAGCCCACAUCCCAGCCGUCGCCGACAUCCGAGGUCCGGCCAGCACUGGGCGAGGUGAUUUUUAGCGACGGGUUCACCAGCGCUGGCGACUGGCCGGUGGGCAGCCUGCCAGCCGGUAAUAUAGCCCUGGGAGACCGCCGAUUGACGCUGGCAAUCUCUCAGGCGGGGGGGC